Molecule: long non-coding RNA, 293 nt
Filed under: Daucus carota (carrot)
Lineage: Eukaryota; Viridiplantae; Streptophyta; Magnoliopsida; Apiales; Apiaceae
Description: long non-coding RNA (DCAR_LNC002181)
Source: RNAcentral
CCCCAACAGUCAUCUCCUAAGAGGCUAAAUCAGGAGAAAAGGAAGCCAAAGGAUCUCAUCCCUCAGCCUAGUAAAAGGUCAAAGGUUACCGAGACUCCUUCGGAGUUUCCUUAUGAUGCUCCAGUCACUGCUGCAGGUGAUUGGUUUUCCAAGGUAGCAGAUGGUUACAUAGAGCCAUCAAAAUUCAAAAUCUGGCAGCAGCGUAAUGGUGAACAGGCGGCUGACGCAUGUAGGCGCGCCGCAGCUGAGUUGUUUUUCCACUUAACUUGUAACCCCUCAGAUACUGAAAAACU